This 119-nucleotide small nuclear RNA is filed under the name Crocodylus porosus (Australian saltwater crocodile). Its description in RNAcentral is "U2 spliceosomal RNA (ENSCPRG00005002352.1)". It matches the Rfam family "U2 spliceosomal RNA", at positions 67 to 185 of the family's 192-position model. Rfam says of the family: U2 is a small nuclear RNA (snRNA) component of the spliceosome (involved in pre-mRNA splicing). Complementary binding between U2 snRNA (in an area lying towards the 5' end but 3' to hairpin I) and the branchpoint sequence (BPS) of the intron results the bulging out of an unpaired adenosine, on the BPS, which initiates a nucleophilic attack at the intronic 5' splice site, thus starting the first of two transesterification reactions that mediate splicing. The record is from RNAcentral. Lineage: Eukaryota; Metazoa; Chordata; Crocodylia; Crocodylidae.
UGUCCUCCAUAGGAGGUCUAUAUUGAGCGGAUUCUUUUUGGUAUUGGGUGGUGGAACCGGAGCGUGCUCCAUCCACUCCAUGCAUUGACCUGGUAUUGCAGUGCUUCCAGGACCGGUGC